UAGGGAAUAUUGGUCAAUGGGCGAGAGCCUGACCCAGCCAUGCCCGCGUCCAGGAAGGACGGCCUUUUUGGGUUGUAAAUCUGUUUUUAUACAGGAUCAAAAAGCUCCAUGCGUGGGAAACUGAGUGUACCGUGUGAAUAAGCACCGGCUAACUCCGUGCCAGCAGCCGCGGUAAUACGGAGGGUGCAAGCGUUGUCCGGAUUUAUUGGGUUUAAAGGGUGCGUAGGUGGUCGAUUAAGUCAGUGGUGAAAUCCCAUAGCUCAACUAUGGAACUGCCAUUGAUACUGGUUGACUUGAGUACAGAUGAGGUAGGCGGAAUUUAUGGUGUAGCGGUGAAAUGCAUAGAUACCAUAAAGAACACCGAUAGCGAAGGCAGCUUACUAAACUGUAACUGACACUGAGGCACGAAAGCGUGGGGAGCGAACAGGAUUAGAUACCCUGGUAGUCCACGCCGUAAACGAUGAUUACUCGAUGUAUGCGAUAUACAGUAUGCGUCCAAGCGAAAGCGUUAAGUAAUCCACCUGGGGAGUACGCUCGCAAGAGUG
This 545-nucleotide ribosomal RNA is filed under the name uncultured bacterium. RNAcentral's name for it is "bacterial SSU rRNA". It matches the Rfam family "Bacterial small subunit ribosomal RNA", at positions 355 to 896 of the family's 1533-position model. The record is from RNAcentral.